GCGCCCGUAGCUCAGUGGAUAGAGCAGCGGUUUCCUAAACCGCGUGUCGGGAGUUCGACUCUCUCCGGGCGCACCA
This 76-nucleotide transfer RNA is filed under the name Desulfoscipio geothermicus. Its description in RNAcentral is "tRNA_Arg_CCT". It matches the Rfam family "tRNA". From Rfam's summary of the family: Transfer RNA (tRNA) molecules are approximately 80 nucleotides in length. Their secondary structure includes four short double-helical elements and three loops (D, anti-codon, and T loops). Further hydrogen bonds mediate the characteristic L-shaped molecular structure. tRNAs have two regions of fundamental functional importance: the anti-codon, which is responsible for specific mRNA codon recognition, and the 3' end, to which the tRNAs corresponding amino acid is attached (by aminoacyl-tRNA synthetases). tRNAs cope with the degeneracy of the genetic code in two manners: having more than one tRNA (with a specific anti-codon) for a particular amino acid; and 'wobble' base-pairing, i.e. permitting non-standard base-pairing at the 3rd anti-codon position. Lineage: Bacteria; Bacillati; Bacillota; Clostridia; Eubacteriales; Desulfallaceae. The record is from RNAcentral.